This 89-nucleotide non-coding RNA is filed under the name Pseudomonas siliginis. The record is from RNAcentral. Lineage: Bacteria; Pseudomonadati; Pseudomonadota; Gammaproteobacteria; Pseudomonadales; Pseudomonadaceae.
GUUCGCGGCGGCUGUGCGUGGGACACGCUUCGGCGUGGCCGAGGUCCAUGAUUGCUCGGUUCCUACUCUUGCGCACAGCUGCCACCCAA